RNAcentral lists this microRNA (21 nucleotides) under Sarcophilus harrisii (Tasmanian devil). RNAcentral describes it as "Sha-Mir-7371-o20_3p (mature (co-guide))". The record is from RNAcentral. Lineage: Eukaryota; Metazoa; Chordata; Mammalia; Dasyuromorphia; Dasyuridae.
AAUAGACACCUUAUCCUAGGG